ACCAGAGGUUGGGUCCACUAUCGUGCAUUGCAUGCAUUUAUUUACUGAAUCACUGGGUCUCCUCUGUACCAGAGGUUGGGUCCACUGGUUUUAUACUGUUGAUUAGCGGCAUUUACUCUGCCAGGUCUCCAUGGCCUACUGGGUCACCUCUGUAUCAGAGGUUGGGUCCACUUGCUUUGAAUUGUUGGAUAGCGGCAGUUACACUGCUGGGUCUCCAUGUGUCAUUUACGUUUUUAUGCAUUUCAUUUUCCUAGUCAUUGGGUCCCCUCUGUAUCAGGGGUAGGGCCCACUGGCUUUUUCCUAUUGGAUAGCGGCAGCUGGCCUGCUGGGUCUCCAUAACUUUGUGUAACUGCAUGUAGUGUCUUUACAGUGUCACUGGAUCCCCUCUGAAUCAGAGGCUGGUCCCACUGACUUUGUACUCUCCCCGCAGAGUUGAGUGGCAAGUUCUACUCCUGACACUCGUGGUGUGUGGGUAUUGUCAACUCAUGAGUGUGUUGGUUUGUCGUCGGGGCGACGACAGAAAAGGUGGGGACAGAAUGUAACAGAUUGAACUCCACCUCUCAAUUCGACCUGUGAUUCUGUCUGUAAUCCAUGAUUGGCUGGCCUAUUACUGCUGGACCUUUAAUUUGAUAUAUAAGUAGACACUGAGUGAGGCACCGCCCCUCUUCCUCCUGCUGUGGUGCUGUGGCCAAGCACCUGUGUGGUCGCUGCACCAGGGCUCCAGUUGGCUUGGGGCUCAGUUUGUUAGGGCCCUGCAACCUGAGCCCACUCCGUUGCCGAUGGCUCGCUCCGUGGUUGAUGCUGAUUGUUGCACCCCAUUGUCCUGUUGAGUGGUGAAGACUGGGGUUAGCUGAGAUGGGUGACUUAUCACUGAAGUCUGCUGAAGUGCUUAAUCUGAGUGGCCAUGUCGAGCGUUGAGCUUGUUACUUAUUGAUCAUCCCUUCAUCUCCCGCAGUGGAGUGAUUAGUGCACCCACAUCCUCUCGCCGCUGGAGAGUUGCUGCUCUGUUGCUGCUGGUCCUGUGUCGGUUCAUGCUCAGUGUUGUGUUUGUUAUUUUGAGUUUUGUUUAUCUACCUCCCCUGAGCCGCCAUCUUGAGUAAGACUGUGGAGAAGGCUUGUAGUGUGGUCCAGUAGGGUAGACUCUAGUGGUAAUCCACUGUAUGUUUUCUGUGAAUCUGUGGUUGUUUUUGUUUUUUUAUUUUUACUAUGUGUUUGGUGGCUGACACCAGCUGUGAGAUUGUCACCUUGUGUGUAUGUAUGAGUGUGUGGAAGUGAUCCAUUCAGGUGUGGCACUUGAGGCGGCUGCCCUCCCUUCUCUGUAUAAUGUGGCUGGUCAUCUCUCUCUACUAGCUAUCAUAAGAUAAGUACCAUCCAGUUCUUUCUUAUUGAUAAUCAAAUACCAACAUUUGGAAUUGUAUUACUCUGUAUUCAGUAUCUCCUCUCUCUUUGGGCAGGUAUGAGGUGCAUCCCAUAGCAAGCCAGUCUUCGGGUGGUGGACCUUCUCACACUUCCAUUGCUGUGUACACGUUUGGUGAUUAUUAUUUUGCAGUGUUACUUUGAAUUUUGUGGAUUUUGUUUAAUUAAUUUGUGGUGUUUUCCUGAUCUUUCCUGUCUCUUCCCGUGCUGCUAGUGGAGAGCCUCUCCAGCCUGACCCACUAGUUGAUCAUUCUCACUUUAAGCCACAUAGCAGGUUAUUGUGCAGUCCACCUCCUUGUGCGCCAUUUGUGCCUCAGCUUGGCCGUCCAGUCUGACGGACCAUGAAGUGUGUGUGUGUGUGUGUGCGCGUGCACACCUAUGAUAUGAGUUGUAUGUGACACCAUGUGAUGUGAUGUUUUGAUCUGGAAAUAUGACUUAUGUUCCAUGUGGUUUAAUGUGAUGGACAAUUACUGAAUGCAGUGUUCAAACUGUUAAACUCCUUGCAGCCUUCUGGGCUACUACAGAAGUAACAUGCCAUACACCUGUGAAUAAAUGACAACCCAUGUGAACAUA
Long non-coding RNA from Engraulis encrasicolus (European anchovy), 1989 nucleotides. RefSeq lists it as uncharacterized. The record is from RefSeq and is a predicted model, not a curated record. NCBI's taxonomy places the organism in Eukaryota, Metazoa, Chordata, Actinopteri, Clupeiformes, Engraulidae. The transcript is spliced from 4 exons.